CCCUGGAUGGUACGGUCUUGGUUAAUGCGCUGGACUCAUGAUCCAGGUCGGAUAGAGAGCGUGGGUUCAAAUCCCGCCCCCGGAG
RNAcentral lists this transfer RNA (85 nucleotides) under Candidatus Bathyarchaeota archaeon. RNAcentral's name for it is "tRNA-Met". It matches the Rfam family "tRNA". From Rfam's summary of the family: Transfer RNA (tRNA) molecules are approximately 80 nucleotides in length. Lineage: Archaea; Thermoproteati; Candidatus Bathyarchaeota. The record is from RNAcentral.